This 495-nucleotide ribosomal RNA is filed under the name uncultured bacterium. RNAcentral describes it as "partial 16S ribosomal RNA". It matches the Rfam family "Bacterial small subunit ribosomal RNA", at positions 28 to 507 of the family's 1533-position model. The record is from RNAcentral.
GACGAACGCUGGCGGCGUGCCUAAUACAUGCAAGUAGAACGCUGAAGGAGGAGCUUGCUCUUCUGGAUGAGUUGCGAACGGGUGAGUAACGCGUAGGUAACCUGCCUGGUAGCGGGGGAUAACUAUUGGAAACGAUAGCUAAUACCGCAUAAGAGUAGAUGUUGCAUGACAUUUGCUUAAAAGGUGCAAUUGCAUCACUACCAGAUGGACCUGCGUUGUAUUAGCUAGUUGGUGGGGUAACGGCUCACCAAGGCGACGAUACAUAGCCGACCUGAGAGGGUGAUCGGCCACACUGGGACUGAGACACGGCCCAGACUCCUACGGGAGGCAGCAGUAGGGAAUCUUCGGCAAUGGACGGAAGUCUGACCGAGCAACGCCGCGUGAGUGAAGAAGGUUUUCGGAUCGUAAAGCUCUGUUGUAAGAGAAGAACGAGUGUGAGAGUGGAAAGUUCACACUGUGACGGUAUCUGACCAGAAAGGGACGGCUAACUACGUG